This is a long non-coding RNA of Lutra lutra (Eurasian river otter), 5612 nucleotides long. RefSeq lists it as uncharacterized. The record is from RefSeq and is a predicted model, not a curated record. Lineage: Eukaryota; Metazoa; Chordata; Mammalia; Carnivora; Mustelidae. The transcript is spliced from 3 exons.
UUGUCGAUCUUAUCAGAGGAACCAGGACUGAAAUGGGACAAAAAGAGGCCGUAUUGAGAAUAGCAGGGGCGAGUCUCUUCUGCACCCACCUGGUCCGCAGACCGCAGGCUGGAGCCCAAGGCCCCUGGAGGGACCACCUCCAGCAGAGCCAAGGACACCAACACGAAGAGAUGGGAAGGAAGAUGGCAUGAAGAGGAUGGAGAGGGGAAAAAGACUCAAACCAUGAGAAAGAAGGCAACAAAGAGCGCGAGACGGAGGAAAGUGAGAUGGGCCGCCCCUCCCACUGCGGACCAGGCAGUCCUGGCCUGGGGUCUGCCGGCCCCCAGAGCGCCCACCCUCUGCCCGCAGACGGCACACCGCCCACCCUCCACCUCUCCUGUCCUUCACACGUCGGGUCUACCUUGGGCCUCUCAACUCAGAUUUUUCUUUUCCCUUUAACAAAAUUUGUCAUUGGUUAAAAGAGAGAGAGAGAGGAAGAGAAAGAGAUGAAGUAAGCCGAGGCCCAGAGCCCUCCCUUGUCCUUGGAACAGUCAACCUGGGAAAGGGAGGGGGAUGGGAGGAGGAAAAAAAAAAAGAAAAAAGAAAAAAAAAAAGAGGAACAACGAGAAACCAAAUGUGAGAUUGAAGGGGAGGAGGUCAGGGCCGGCCUGCUGUACAGUUAGAGGCCCAAGGGCCCCGGAAUGGAGGUGAGGGGGCAAGGCCAAAAGGGGAUGGUGGUGGCGUCACCUUGUGGUCACAUUUAAAUUUUUUGGUGUAGCGGGGCACAACGAAACACAAAAAUCAAAAAACAAAAAACGAAAAUGAAAAAAACAGCAAUCAGGCAUGAAGAUGGCAUGGCUGCGCCUCCCCGCCCCCUUCCCACCCUGGCCAGCACCCCUGGCCUGCGUGCCCCACUGUGCUCCCCCUCCCGCCCCGGGAGGGGCCUGGGCCAGGGCCCCCCGGCUAGGAGCCGCGGGUGGGCAGGGGGGCUCGUGGGGUCUGGCUGGUGCAACUGAGGCCCCGGAGGCCGUGACUGGGGGCUCAGCUCUGCUCUUGUCCGGGUGGGAGGCUCCAUGCGCUCUGGGUUGGGGGGCUCUGGCGGUGGGUGGGCAGGGGUUUUUCUUUUUGCCGUGGAGACUGUUUGGAUGGGCCAGGAUGCUGGGCGUUGUGGUUUCGGUUUCAUCGUCACUACUUACAAGGUGAUGGAGGAGUCAAGGCGGCGCCGUCUGGGGCAGUGCUGGUGGAUUUGGAAUCAGGCAUAGGAAGGGGCACAGGUCUGGCCACUGGAGGCGGCGGCGGUAGCAAAAAUGACCCCGGGACUUUGCCCUGGCCGCUACCGUUGGGCUGCGAACAACAUAAAUAGAGUGACGCAUGAAGGCACAUCCCACACAGACACACGCUCCCCUGCGCGGCCACGCCAGCUCGCUCCUGAGAGCGGGCGCUCCCGGUGGAAGAUGCAGGACGGGGUCGUCUCCUCCGGGGCACGGGGUGGGUGAGGGUGUGAGGCUUCUAUUUGGUCUCUCAGGUGUUUCUCUCUUUUUUUUUUUUUUUUUUUUUUGUGGUCCUCUUUUGAAGUUGUGGGAGGGACGAAAGGGGGUGUCCGACGAGUGGUUUGUUAUUUCUUAGGGAACAUGUUUUAGGUACCAAAACAUGCCAUCUCGCCACCUAAGCAGCUGCCCCUAGCACGCUCGUGCUCUUGGAAGACCUGCCUCAGCAGGAUGGUCGUGACCUCCACCGUAGCCUUUGAAGCAGGCUGCUCCCAGGCUCCCCAGCAAGCCCGGGGACAGCCACCUCUGUGUGGCCCAGACAUGCUGCAACUUUCAAACAUCGAGCCCAGAUCUGACCUGUGCCGGCCACACCCUUCUGAGUUCUGGCCACCAACUCCCAUCACCCGCUAAAGACCAGCACCUAGGUCUGACAUUGUCUCUCCAAAUGGUUCCCUUGACUGGCUCUUUAACUGCCCACUCAGAGGUUCUCCUGGCAAAAGCAGGGCAGGGGCUGCUGAUCUCUGCGUCCUGCACCCUUUGUGCCAGGCGCCCUUUCAGAAAUACGCAACUGCCUUCCUCCAGCAGUGCAGGAAAUGCAAGUCUCAAGAGAUCACAGCCUCACUCCUUUAUUCUGCGCCAUCCUGGGCUUGCCACCCCUCUCCCCAGGGGCUGGGACCCAUGGCCCUCCGGGUAGCCCUUGCUCCUACAGGGUGCCUGUGCCUCCUUCUAGUCCUCAAGACCCUGUCUCCCCCUCACGAGGACCUAAAUCACUCAUCGCUCUUGAUGAAGCCAAUCCCAGCCCGACACGGCCAGACAUCGAACACCGCUGAUGUACAACAUUUAGUUUCUGGAAGCUACUUCCAACCAGGCUACAGUAUCUCAGCUCUGAUUGGAGUUCAAGUUGAGGUUUUAAAAAUCUCGAGGUCUUGUGAUUUUGCGGUGCCUUGAAACCUCACGAGUUAAAAGCUAGAAGGAACCUGGAGAUGGGAUAGCUCUUCACUUUCAACAGACAGAUGAAGACGAGGCCUGGCGGCUCCAGCGCUGAUGCCUGAGGCUGACCUACAAACCGUCUUCUGCCUCCCAGGGUCACGCUAUCCGGCCCUGUGACUUCUCCAUCGGUUCACUUGGUGGCCUCUUCUCUCUGCCAGAAACACAGCUAACCAGGCAUCCUCCUGCCCUUUGCGUCUCCUCUGAGUGGCGUGUCCACUUGGCCUUGGCCUUUACCGAUCUGGCUCUUCUCAAGUAGGGCCUCUUGCUGUAGUCCGAGGAUGAGCACGGGGGUGGUGCCUGGAAACCCUUUUGCAAAUCGUAAAAAUUUUGUAUGCGUACUUUUUUCUUUCUGCGAAGAUGCUCUGUAACUUCACAUUCUCAAAGAUGUUAGGAAUUUACUCCUUCAGGCUUUAGAUCAAUGGUUCUCAAAGUGGGUCCCCGACCAAGAAACAGCAUCGGCUGGGAACUUGGGGGGAAAUGCAGAUUCUCGGCCCCACCCAGGUCUGGGGAAUCAGAAUCAGGUGAGGCCCAGGCACCUGUGUGUUAGCGAGCCUUCCGGUGAUUCGUGCAUGCUAAGGCUGAGAACCUCUGCUCUGGAGGCAGCCAUGGACCCAGAGCAGCCUGGUACUGCCAUUGCUGGUCAACAAGUCAGCUGCAGAGCCUGGGGCCUCUGGCUCGCAUCCUCCAGAGCCUGCAGCCGAGCCCCAGAGAGCAGGCUCACUGAAGACACGCCCUUCUCUCUGGGAACAACAGGCCGAGGAGAGGAAACCCAGAGACUGCUCUCCAGCUGGGCUAGGCUCUUCUGUUUAACCAGACUGCCUGCUCGCCCUCCUGCCUGCAGUGUUUAUCCACGGUCUACUCGGAGCAAGCAAGGACCAGACGAGCCCUUAAUCUUGAAUGCUCAAGUCAAGGGAGAGGUUCAGGACCCAGCCAUCAUCAGGAGGCUUAAGGACAGACUGACCCAUACUCCCGAGGAUCCUGUGCAUUCGCUUUGGCUCUUUGGGCUAAACUGGCCCCUCAGGUCAGUCCUCAUUUUGGUUCCAAACCCCAGCUGCCUCUGUGGGUGAGAAGGCAGGCAAGGUGGGGUUCCCGGACUCUCUGAUCCAUAUUCCAGACCCCAGGGCCCUUGGGCGCUGGGACAUGGCCUUGUAGCUCCCGUAGACGCUGCUGUCGUCUCUGAAGGACAGUAGUACUGUUGAGGUCAUGGCCACUUCCCACUCCAUGCCCCUAAAAGUGGACAGAGCUUGUCCAGAGAGGUUGGGCAAGGCUCUGAGUGAGCUAAGGGGCUGCAGAGCCAGCGAGAGAGAACCUCACGGGGAAAAAGGAGACGAGGAAAGUAGAAGGAGGGAGAACAGGAGAGAGGGAAGAGGACCGGCUUCCGUUCUGGACAGCAAGAGCGAGGAGGCUGAGCCAUAACCCUGCCCCAAAUCAAUGGCACCAGCACGUAAGGCAAAUGCCCAUUCUGUACAGGCCGCCCUAGGGCAGCACUGGCGUGUGCCAAGGGCCGGCCCACCACUCUCCUGGCCACCUCUGGCAUAGGGGUUCCGAACGCCUCUCGCUCCCACCGACGUGCCGUUGAGCGACCUGCCCCCGACCUCUCACACACGGGUUUCCAGGCUGUACCAGCUCGAGGAAAGAGGGACUGGACCUUCUCACAGCGCCGUUUGCUGCUGGAACUCUAGAACCUUCCCAGAGGUCUAGAGACCGCCUGUCCCAACCCGAGUGCUCUCCCAGGGACUAGAGAGGACCACUGUCCCACUGAAGGGUCACCUCUGGCCCACCACUGUCUGGAUAAGCCUUUGCUGGUGGCCUAUGUUUCUGCUCAUCAGGCCCGGGGCCCUAGAGCUUGCUGACAGAGAAGGGCAGUGGGGCAGCAGAACUCCAUGGGCAACCAGCAUCUCUCCUAGGCUGAGGAGCAAGAAGGGCUUCCCUCCAGAACAAAAACAAGACCUGGGAACCUCUUGCUAAGAGUUCUGCCAACAGGAGACUCCAUGACAGCUCGAGGGAAGGAGGGAGGGCCUUGCUCCACCCAGGGCUUUCUCACCAGGGAAUGGUGAUGCCCCCAGGCACGCUGAACUCUGGAAAUAUCCUUGGUCAUCAGGACUGGGAGUGAUGGGUGCAGCUGCUAUUUAGUGGGUGGGGCCGCGGAUGCUGCCUACUACCCCACAGUGCCCGGGACGGCCCCGCAGAACAGAGAAUGGACAGCCCAGAGUUCAAUAGUGCCAGGCAAGGAACUCUCGGUCUAGCACCUACACACUCCUUGUAGCCCUGAGGUUUUAAGAGGGGUGCUACGAGGUCAGGAGCCCAGGCUGGGUUGGAGGAGAUCACGGACACACUCUUACGUGGGAACAGAGACUGAGGGGAGGGCAAGGAGCCCGAGCAAGAGCAAGGCGGGCCCGGCGACUGCCCCUCGUCCCCAACUCUGGACGGUGACAGACAGGCCCUGACAUUACACAUGGACCCCUACCCCCAGAUCCAGAAGUGGAGGUGUUUUGGCACCUACCGGCCCUCUGCUGCCUCAGCCCUAGGAGGGCUCUUGGCUUUUGGACCCUCUCCUUGUGAGCCCCGAGACAGACGGACAGAUGCAGAGAUGAGCUGUGGCAGGGCUCCGGGGGCCUGUGGACUCACCUGUCCGGUGGCCUGGCCCGAGCCGUCCGAGCACAGCACGAACUGCACAAACUCCUUCAGCGAGUCCUGCCCGUGGGUGGUGGGGUAGCGGAUGUGUCGGGUGCGUGAAGUACGGGCUCGCCUGCUGGAUGAUUGAUGUGGAGGGGAAGUGCAGCGCCGAUGCCGUGGCCCGGGGGCUCCCUGCGCGCAGGUGGGCAGGAAGAAGAGGGCGUCAGGUCUUAGGAGGCAGAGGGGGGGGCGCAUGGAAGAUGGGGUUGGUUGGGUGUGGGGGGAUGCUGGUCAGACACAGCCCUGAGGAGCCAGAGGAAAAGGGAGAAUGGGGUUAAGAUCAGGCCAGGACCAGGGGUAGGAGAAUGAGGCACCGGCUCUGGUGAGAAAGUUAAGGCAGCACCAGAUAAUUCGACAAUCGACAAUCGAGGUAAGGCAUUGUCCUUAACAACAAUACUUUCACAAGCCGUACUCUGGGGAGUCAGCCCGGAUGGCUCAGGUCGGUGAAGCAUCAGAUGCUUUUUUUUUUUUUUUAAAAGU